Ochotona curzoniae (black-lipped pika) is the source of this 223-nucleotide long non-coding RNA. RefSeq lists it as uncharacterized. The record is from RefSeq and is a predicted model, not a curated record. The transcript is spliced from 3 exons. NCBI's taxonomy places the organism in Eukaryota, Metazoa, Chordata, Mammalia, Lagomorpha, Ochotonidae.
GUGUAGCCCUGUGGCGUGCUUCAUGCUUCCAAGGCUGGAGAACACACACGCACCUUCAAUGUUGGUGUCAUUUGAAGAUGUGGCUGUGGACUUUACCCAGGAGGAAUGGCAGCACAUGGACAACACUCAGCGGACCCUCUACAGGGAUGUGAUGCUUGAGACUUAUAACAAUCUGCUGUCCUUGGGGUACAGCUUGACAAAGCCUGAUGUGAUCUUGAAAUUG